GACGAACGCUGGCGGCGUGCCUAACACAUGCAAGUCGAACGGAAAGGCCCUGCUUUUGUGCGGUGCUCGAGUGGCGAACGGGUGAGUAACACGUGAGUAACCUGCCAUUGACUUUGGGAUAACUUCAGGCAACUGGGGCUAAUACCGGAUAGGAGCUCCUGCUGCAUGGUGGGGGUUGGAAAGUUUCGGCGGUUGGGGAUGGACUCGCGGCUUAUCAGCUUGUUGGGGGGGUAGUGGCUUACCAAGGCCUUGACGCGUAGCCGGCCUGGGAGGGUGACCGGCCACAUUAGGACGGAAAUGCGGCACGGACUCCUAUGGUAGGCAGCGGAGGGGUAUAGUGUACAAUAGGAGGAAGCCAGAUGCAGCAACGCCGCGUGGGGUAAGACGGCCAUCGGGUUGUAUACCGCUUUCGCCUGUGACGAAGUGUGAGUGACAGUAACGGGUAAAGAAGCACCGGCUAACUACGUG
This 468-nucleotide ribosomal RNA is filed under the name uncultured bacterium. RNAcentral describes it as "partial 16S ribosomal RNA". It matches the Rfam family "Bacterial small subunit ribosomal RNA", at positions 28 to 507 of the family's 1533-position model. The record is from RNAcentral.